UUAACUAUUAUUACAUGUAAAUUAAAAUAUUUGAUCCGUUUAAUUUCUUCCCUAAUACAUUUACCAUUACAAAACAACAAUUAACUUUUGAAAAAUUGACACGAAAUUCAAAAUUGGAACCAUGAUUAAAAGCUAAAUCUAGCAAAAUUCGAACCAUGAUUAAAAGCUAAAUCUAAAGUCAUAAUCACAUAGAUGGAUUAUGGUAAAUUUAAUUUUUCUAUUCAUCUAUAGGAAACGUGUCUGGAUGGAUUCUCCCACGACGAUGCGGACAA
This 272-nucleotide long non-coding RNA is filed under the name Cucumis sativus (cucumber). RNAcentral's name for it is "long non-coding RNA (CSAT_LNC002922)". The record is from RNAcentral. Lineage: Eukaryota; Viridiplantae; Streptophyta; Magnoliopsida; Cucurbitales; Cucurbitaceae.